This 492-nucleotide ribosomal RNA is filed under the name uncultured bacterium. Its description in RNAcentral is "partial 16S ribosomal RNA". It matches the Rfam family "Bacterial small subunit ribosomal RNA", at positions 29 to 507 of the family's 1533-position model. The record is from RNAcentral.
AGUGAACGCUGGCGGUAGGCCUAACACAUGCAAGUCGAACGGCAGCACAGUAAGAGCUUGCUCUUACGGGUGGCGAGUGGCGGACGGGUGAGGAAUACAUCGGAAUCUACUUUUUCGUGGGGGAUAACGUAGGGAAACUUACGCUAAUACCGCAUACGACCUACGGGUGAAAGCAGGGGACCUUCGGACCUUGCGCGAUUGAAUGAGCCGAUGUCGGAUUAGCUAGUUGGCGGGGUAAAGGCCCACCAAGGCGACGAUCCGUAGCUGGUCUGAGAGGAUGAUCAGCCACACUGGAACUGAGACACGGUCCAGACUCCUACGGGAGGCAGCAGUGGGGGAUAUUGGACAAUGGGCGCAAGCCUGAUCCAGCCAUACCGCGUGGGUGAAGAAGGCCUUCGGGUUGUAAAGCCCUUUUGUUGGGAAAGAAAAGCAGCAGGUUAAUACCCCGCUGUUCUGACGGUACCCAAAGAAUAAGCACCGGCUAACUUCGUG